CAUAUGGGGUGGAGGGGUUUGGGGCCACCCCUGAAGCCCCCUCCUGGUGUCCCCCCCCAAUUUGCAGCGGAUUUCCUGGAGCCGGCGGUGGGGCAGAAAUGGGACCGGGUGCGGCUCACCUGCAGCCAGCCCUUCAGCAGGCAGGGGCAGUUCGGGCUCUCCUUCCUCCGCCUGCGCACCCCCAGUGACCCCCAGUCCAACCCACAGCCGGUACUGGAGGGCGCCCACAGCCCCCAGCGCUGCAGCCCGGCCAUCUGCAGGAUGCUGUGCGCACAGACUGGAUCGGUCUCACGGCAGGAGGAGCAGCUCAGGAGCCGCCU
RNAcentral lists this long non-coding RNA (320 nucleotides) under Anas platyrhynchos platyrhynchos (common mallard). RNAcentral describes it as "lncRNA (ENSAPLG00000017755.1)". The record is from RNAcentral. Lineage: Eukaryota; Metazoa; Chordata; Aves; Anseriformes; Anatidae.